Molecule: transfer-messenger RNA, 208 nt
Filed under: Giesbergeria sp.
Lineage: Bacteria; Pseudomonadati; Pseudomonadota; Betaproteobacteria; Burkholderiales; Comamonadaceae
Description: partial transfer-messenger RNA
Rfam family: transfer-messenger RNA
About the family: Bacterial tmRNA, also known as 10Sa RNA or SsrA, is named for its dual tRNA and mRNA-like properties. Its role is to liberate the mRNA from a stalled ribosome. To accomplish this part of the tmRNA is used as a reading frame that ends in a translation stop signal.
Source: RNAcentral
GGGGCUGCCCUGGUUUCGACGUGGGUUCGGAAUCGGUGUGGUGCAUGCCGAGCUUGAUUGGCGCUCGUAAAUCUGCAUUCAAAAAAACUAACUGCAAACGACGAACGUUUCGCACUCGCCGCUUAACCGGUGAGCCUUGCAACAGCACGCUGAUGGGCUGGGCAAGGGGGCUGCAAAGCCUCCCGGCUGCAAGGUUAUCUACAUCAGC